Molecule: long non-coding RNA, 446 nt
Filed under: Brachypodium distachyon (stiff brome)
Lineage: Eukaryota; Viridiplantae; Streptophyta; Magnoliopsida; Poales; Poaceae
Description: long non-coding RNA (BDIS_LNC004220)
Source: RNAcentral
CUUCCAAACGAGGAAGAAGCCCCUAACAAGUGGGCCCCACCAGUCAGCGGGUGCGGGCGCGGCGCGGGCGAGCGGCUGGGCUGGCAGGGCUGCGGCGCGUGCGAGGGAUUGGGCCGGUUCGGCCUAAAGUGGCCGGGCCGAUCCGGUUUCCUCCCUUUUUUUUUCUUUUACCCUUUUCUUUUUCUGCUUUUCUCAUUUCUUUGAUAACUUUUGAUUUUGAACUCCAAAUUUGUCCAAAUAAAAUCCAGAAAAUUUGUAAAAUCAUGUUCUACCAUGAUACAACUUUUGGAAGUAGUUUCCCCUCAAAAUAAAAUAUAUAAAAAUACAUUUGCCCUAUAAAUGCCUUUAGGGCUAUAUAUCUAUUUAAAUAAAAUACUUUUUCAACUCCAAAUAAUUAUCCAAAAAUUAUGGGAUAGCUUAUAUAUGCAUUAAACCCCUUUUAUACA